UACGUAGGGCGCAAGCGUUUGUCCGGAAUUAUUGGGCGUAAAGAGCUCGUAGGUGGUUUGUUACGUCUGCUGUGAAAACCUAGGGCUUAACCCUGGGCCUGCAGUGGAUACGGGCAGACUAGAGGUAGGUAGGGGAGAAUGGAAUUCCCGGUGUAGCGGUGAAAUGCGCAGAUAUCGGGAGGAACACCGGUGGCGAAGGCGGGUCUCUGG
RNAcentral lists this ribosomal RNA (210 nucleotides) under uncultured bacterium. RNAcentral's name for it is "partial 16S ribosomal RNA". It matches the Rfam family "Bacterial small subunit ribosomal RNA", at positions 524 to 732 of the family's 1533-position model. The record is from RNAcentral.